UGCCAGCAUUAAGUUGGGGACUCUGACGGUACUGCCGGUGACAAACCGGAGGAAGGUGGGGACGACGUCAAGUCAUCAUGGCCCUUAUGUCCUGGGCUACACACGUGCUACAAUGGUCGGUACAGAGCGCAGCGAGACCGCGAGGUGGAGCAAAUCGCAGAAAGCCGAUCUCAGUACAGAUUGAAGUCUGAAACUCGACUUCAUGAAGGUGGAAUCGCUAGUAAUCGCGCAUCAGCAUGGCGCGGUGAAUACGUUCCCGGGCCUUGUACACACCGCCCGUCACACCACCCGAGUUGGGGGUACCCGAAGUCGCUAGUCUAACUGUCAAAAGGAGACGGUGCCUAAGGUAUACCUGGUAAGGGGGGUG
RNAcentral lists this ribosomal RNA (367 nucleotides) under uncultured bacterium. RNAcentral's name for it is "bacterial SSU rRNA". It matches the Rfam family "Bacterial small subunit ribosomal RNA", at positions 1116 to 1482 of the family's 1533-position model. The record is from RNAcentral.